UACGGAGGGUGCAAACGUUGCUCGGAAUCAUUGGGCGUAAAGCGCACGUAGGCGGCCUGAUAAGUCGGGUGUGAAAGCCCUGGGCUCAACUCCGGAAUUGCCUUUAAGACUGCAUCGCUCGAAUUGUGGAGAGGUAAGUGGAAUUCCGAGUGUAGAGGUGAAAUUCGUAGAUAUUCGGAAGAACACCAGUGGCGAAGGCGACUUACUGGACACAUAUUGACGCUGAGGUGCGAAAGCGUGGGGAGCAAACAGG
This 253-nucleotide ribosomal RNA is filed under the name uncultured bacterium. Its description in RNAcentral is "partial 16S ribosomal RNA". It matches the Rfam family "Bacterial small subunit ribosomal RNA", at positions 524 to 776 of the family's 1533-position model. The record is from RNAcentral.